CCAGACUCCUACGGGAGGCAGCAGUGGGGGAUAUUGCACAAUGGGGGAAACCCUGAUGCAGCGACGCCGCGUGAGUGAAGAAGUAUUUCGGUACGUAAAGCUCUAUCAGCAGGGAAGAAAAAAAGUCCUUUGGACUUUGGACGGUACCUGACUAAGAAGCCCCGGCUAACUACGUGCCAGCAGCCGCGGUAAUACGUAGGGGGCAAGCGUUAUCCGGAUUUAUUGGGUUUAAAGGGUGCGUAGGCGGGCUUUUAAGUCAGCGGUAAAAAUUCGGGGCUCAACCCCGUCCGGCCGUUGAAACUGGGGGCCUUGAGUGGGCGAGAAGAAGGCGGAAUGCGUGGUGUAGCGGUGAAAUGCAUAGAUAUCGCGCAGAACCCCGAUUGCGAAGGCAGCCUUCCGGCGCCCUACUGACGCUGAGGCACGAAAGUGCGGGGAUCGAACAGGAUUAGAUGCCCGCGUA
RNAcentral lists this ribosomal RNA (460 nucleotides) under uncultured bacterium. Its description in RNAcentral is "bacterial SSU rRNA". It matches the Rfam family "Bacterial small subunit ribosomal RNA", at positions 331 to 792 of the family's 1533-position model. The record is from RNAcentral.